RNAcentral lists this signal recognition particle RNA (100 nucleotides) under bovine gut metagenome. RNAcentral describes it as "Bacteroidales small SRP". It matches the Rfam family "Bacteroidales small SRP", at positions 8 to 103 of the family's 107-position model. Rfam says of the family: The non-coding component of the signal recognition particle in Bacteroides The record is from RNAcentral.
CGGGUAAGUCUUGUACGGUCAGCUCCCUGACAACUCCCCCAGGGCAGGAAUGCAGCAAGGGCACUCAGGUCGUAGCGACGCGAUGCAAGUCGCUUACCCU